This 301-nucleotide ribosomal RNA is filed under the name uncultured bacterium. RNAcentral describes it as "partial 16S ribosomal RNA". It matches the Rfam family "Bacterial small subunit ribosomal RNA", at positions 509 to 807 of the family's 1533-position model. The record is from RNAcentral.
CAGUAGCCGCGGUAAUACGUAGGGUGCAAGCGUUAAUCGGAAUUACUGGGCGUAAAGCGUGCGCAGGCGGUUUGUUAAGACAGAUGUAAAAUCCCCGGGCUCAACCUGGGAACUGCAUUUGUGACUGGCAAGCUAGAGUCUGGCAGAGGGGGGUGGAAUUCCGCGUGUAGCAGUGAAAUGCGUAGAUAUGCGGAGGAACACCGAUGGCGAAGGCAGCCCCCUGGGCCAACACUGACGCUCAUGCACGAAAGCGUGGGGAGCAAACAGGAUUAGAUACCCGUGUAGUCCCUGUCUCUUAUAC